This 92-nucleotide transfer RNA is filed under the name Micromonospora sp. MH33. Its description in RNAcentral is "tRNA-Ser". The record is from RNAcentral. Lineage: Bacteria; Bacillati; Actinomycetota; Actinomycetes; Micromonosporales; Micromonosporaceae.
GCGGGGCCUGGGCGGGCAGGCCGCUGGCCUGCUGGGCCACCGCGAGCGGGGCGUGCUCGUGGGCGACGAGUUCGGCGAGCCGGUGCCGCACC